RNAcentral lists this ribosomal RNA (801 nucleotides) under Escherichia coli. RNAcentral describes it as "partial 23S ribosomal RNA". It matches the Rfam family "Bacterial large subunit ribosomal RNA", at positions 418 to 1219 of the family's 2925-position model. Lineage: Bacteria; Pseudomonadati; Pseudomonadota; Gammaproteobacteria; Enterobacterales; Enterobacteriaceae. The record is from RNAcentral.
CGGGACACGUGGUAUCCUGUCUGAAUAUGGGGGGACCAUCCUCCAAGGCUAAAUACUCCUGACUGACCGAUAGUGAACCAGUACCGUGAGGGAAAGGCGAAAAGAACCCCGGCGAGGGGAGUGAAAAAGAACCUGAAACCGUGUACGUACAAGCAGUGGGAGCACGCUUAGGCGUGUGACUGCGUACCUUUUGUAUAAUGGGUCAGCGACUUAUAUUCUGUAGCAAGGUUAACCGAAUAGGGGAGCCGAAGGGAAACCGAGUCUUAACUGGGCGUUAAGUUGCAGGGUAUAGACCCGAAACCCGGUGAUCUAGCCAUGGGCAGGUUGAAGGUUGGGUAACACUAACUGGAGGACCGAACCGACUAAUGUUGAAAAAUUAGCGGAUGACUUGUGGCUGGGGGUGAAAGGCCAAUCAAACCGGGAGAUAGCUGGUUCUCCCCGAAAGCUAUUUAGGUAGCGCCUCGUGAAUUCAUCUCCGGGGGUAGAGCACUGUUUCGGCAAGGGGGUCAUCCCGACUUACCAACCCGAUGCAAACUGCGAAUACCGGAGAAUGUUAUCACGGGAGACACACGGCGGGUGCUAACGUCCGUCGUGAAGAGGGAAACAACCCAGACCGCCAGCUAAGGUCCCAAAGUCAUGGUUAAGUGGGAAACGAUGUGGGAAGGCCCAGACAGCCAGGAUGUUGGCUUAGAAGCAGCCAUCAUUUAAAGAAAGCGUAAUAGCUCACUGGUCGAGUCGGCCUGCGCGGAAGAUGUAACGGGGCUAAACCAUGCACCGAAGCUGCGGCAGCGACGCUUAUGC